RNAcentral lists this ribosomal RNA (752 nucleotides) under uncultured bacterium. RNAcentral describes it as "bacterial SSU rRNA". It matches the Rfam family "Bacterial small subunit ribosomal RNA", at positions 1 to 749 of the family's 1533-position model. The record is from RNAcentral.
UAGAGUUUGAUCAUGGCUCAGAUUGAACGCUGGCGGCAGGCCUAACACAUGCAAGUCGAGCGGUAGCACAAGAGAGCUUGCUCUCUGGGUGACGAGCGGCGGACGGGUGAGUAAUGUCUGGGAAACUGCCUGAUGGAGGGGGAUAACUACUGGAAACGGUAGCUAAUACCGCAUAACGUCUACGGACCAAAGUGGGGGACCUUCGGGCCUCAUGCCAUCAGAUGUGCCCAGAUGGGAUUAGCUAGUAGGUGGGGUAAUGGCUCACCUAGGCGACGAUCCCUAGCUGGUCUGAGAGGAUGACCAGCCACACUGGAACUGAGACACGGUCCAGACUCCUACGGGAGGCAGCAGUGGGGAAUAUUGCACAAUGGGCGCAAGCCUGAUGCAGCCAUGCCGCGUGUGUGAAGAAGGCCUUCGGGUUGUAAAGCACUUUCAGCGAGGAGGAAGGGUAGUGUGUUAAUAGCACAUUGCAUUGACGUUACUCGCAGAAGAAGCACCGGCUAACUCCGUGCCAGCAGCCGCGGUAAUACGGAGGGUGCAAGCGUUAAUCGGAAUUACUGGGCGUAAAGCGCACGCAGGCGGUUUGUUAAGUCAGAUGUGAAAUCCCCGCGCUUAACGUGGGAACUGCAUUUGAAACUGGCAAGCUAGAGUCUUGUAGAGGGGGGUAGAAUUCCAGGUGUAGCGGUGAAAUGCGUAGAGAUCUGGAGGAAUACCGGUGGCGAAGGCGGCCCCCUGGACAAAGACUACGCUCA